AGUGUGAGCCUGAUGUGAAUCCUGCCUAGCAACAGUCGCACAGCAGCCAUUUUGACGCUUGUUGCAAGUGUAAGCCUGAUAUGAAUCCUGCCUAGCAACAGUGGCACAGCAGCUAUUUUGAUGCUUGUUGCAAGUGUGAGCCUGAUACGAAUCCUGCCUAGCAACAGUCGCACUGCAGCCAUUUUGACGCUUGUUGCAAGUGUGAGCCUGAUAUGAAUCCUGCCUAGCAACAGUCGCACAGCAGCCAUUUUGACGCUUGUUGCAAGUGUGAGGCAGCAGAGCCAGAUAUGAAUCCUGCCUAGCAACAGUCGCACAGCAGCCAUUUUGACACUUGUUGUAAGAUUUCUUGCCGGGACAUAUGGAUGGUGGAAGCGGGGCUCGAACCUGGAACCUUCAAGUUCCUGGCACGGUUACUCUACCAACUGACAGAGCACAGCCUCCAGGGCCGCGGGGGUCGCUGGCGCCUAUCUCAGCUACAAUCGGGCGGAAGGCGGGGUACACCCUGGACAAGUCGCCACCUCAUCGCAGGGCCAAAUUAUUAUAUUUUUAUAAUUUGUUUUAUUAUUAUUUAAUUUUGUGUUAACUUUUUUGAUUUUGUGUUACAUUAUUUUUCAUCUUGUGUUAGUAUUUAUUUUUGUGUCACUGUUUUGUAUUACGGUAUUUUGUAUUAUUAUUAUUUGUUUUAUUUGUAUUUAUUUUUGUGUUAUUUAUUUCAUUUUUGUAUUGCUGUCUAUUAUUAUUAUUUGUUUUAUUAUUUAUUUUUAUGUUAUUUAUUUAGUUUUUGUAUUACAGUAUUAUUAUUUGUUUUAUUAUUAUUUAUUUUUGUGUUAUUUAUUUUGUUUUUGUAUUACAGUAUUUUUUUAAUCAUUUGUUUGAGUAUUUAUUUUUAUGUCAUUUUUUUUUGAUAACAGUAUUUGGUAUUAUUAUUAUUUGUUUUAUUAUUAUUUCUGUUAUUUAUUUUAUUUUUUUGUCACAGUCUCUAUUAUUUGUUUUAUUAUUUCUUUUUGUGUUAUUUAUUCUACUUUUGUAUUGCAGUAUAGAUUACUAUUUGUUUUAUUAUUUAUUUUCGUGUUAUUUAUUUUAUUUUUGUAUCACAGUAUUUUUAUCAUUUGUUUGAGUAUUUUCUUAUGUGUCAUUUAUGUUUUUGUACUACGGUAUUUUGUAAUAAUAUUUGUUUUAUUACUAUUUUUGUGUUUAUUUUAUUUUUUGUAUUACAGUGUUUCUUAUUUGUUUUACUAUUUAUUUUUGUGUUAUUUAUUUUUAUCUUCGUAUUACAGUAUGUUAUUUUUUUUGUUAUGUAUUUUUGUGUUAUUUAUUUUUUGUAUUAUUGUUAUUAUUGUAUA
Long non-coding RNA from Nerophis ophidion (straightnose pipefish), 1343 nucleotides. RefSeq lists it as uncharacterized. The transcript is spliced from 7 exons. Lineage: Eukaryota; Metazoa; Chordata; Actinopteri; Syngnathiformes; Syngnathidae. The record is from RefSeq and is a predicted model, not a curated record.